This 927-nucleotide ribosomal RNA is filed under the name Lactiplantibacillus plantarum. RNAcentral's name for it is "bacterial SSU rRNA". The record is from RNAcentral. Lineage: Bacteria; Bacillati; Bacillota; Bacilli; Lactobacillales; Lactobacillaceae.
GUGCUUGCAUCAUGAUUUACAUUUGAGUGAGUGGCGAACUGGUGAGUAACACGUGGGAAACCUGCCCAGAAGCGGGGGAUAACACCUGGAAACAGAUGCUAAUACCGCAUAACAACUUGGACCGCAUGGUCCGAGYUUGAAAGAUGGCUUCGGCUAUCACUUUUGGAUGGUCCCGCGGCGUAUUAGCUAGAUGGUGRGGUAACGGCUCACCAUGGCAAUGAUACGUAGCCGACCUGAGAGGGUAAUCGGCCACAUUGGGACUGAGACACGGCCCAAACUCCUACGGGAGGCAGCAGUAGGGAAUCUUCCACAAUGGACGAAAGUCUGAUGGAGCAACGCCGCGUGAGUGAAGAAGGGUUUCGGCUCGUAAAACUCUGUUGUUAAAGAAGAACAUAUCUGAGAGUAACUGUUCAGGUAUUGACGGUAUUUAACCAGAAAGCCACGGCUAACUACGUGCCAGCAGCCGCGGUAAUACGUAGGUGGCAAGCGUUGUCCGGAUUUAUUGGGCGUAAAGCGAGCGCAGGCGGUUUUUUAAGUCUGAUGUGAAAGCCUUCGGCUCAACCGAAGAAGUGCAUCGGAAACUGGGAAACUUGAGUGCAGAAGAGGACAGUGGAACUCCAUGUGUAGCGGUGAAAUGCGUAGAUAUAUGGAAGAACACCAGUGGCGAAGGCGGCUGUCUGGUCUGUAACUGACGCUGAGGCUCGAAAGUAUGGGUAGCAAACAGGAUUAGAUACCCUGGUAGUCCAUACCGUAAACGAUGAAUGCUAAGUGUUGGAGGGUUUCCGCCCUUCAGUGCUGCAGCUAACGCAUUAAGCAUUCCGCCUGGAGAGUACGGCCGCAAGGCUGAAACUAGGAAUUGACGGGGCCCGCACAAGCGGUGGAGCAUGUGGUUUAAUUCGAAGCUACGCGAAGAACCUUACCAAGUCU